Molecule: long non-coding RNA, 951 nt
Filed under: Dunaliella salina
Lineage: Eukaryota; Viridiplantae; Chlorophyta; Chlorophyceae; Chlamydomonadales; Dunaliellaceae
Description: long non-coding RNA (DSAL_LNC000014)
Source: RNAcentral
GAGGACGAGGAUGAAGACUCCUACAGUGGCAGCAGCAGCAGCAGUGGCAGUGCGCGCAGGUUGGAGCAAGAGGGGGGCCAAGGGGCGCGCAAGCUAGGUGAGGAGACUCAGUUACCACCUCAAUUUACGGGUCAAUACAUUUGUGAUUGUAGCAGCGCAUGCAAGUUGAAGCAAGAGGGGGGCCAAGGGGCGCGCAAGCUAGGUGAGGAGGCUUGGUCACCGCCUCAAUAGAUGGCGGGUCGACAAAUUUGGUUGUAGCAGCGCACACAAUUUGGAGCAAGAGGGCGGCCAAGGGGCAUGCAAGCUUCGGUGAGAAGGCAUGUGGUCACUGCCUCGAUUGGUGGCGCCUUAACAAAUUAGUAGUAGCAGCGCACACAAGUUUGAGCAAGAGGGCGGCCAAGGGGCACGCGAGCUAGGUGAGAAGGCUCAAUUACCACCUCGAUUGGCAGGUUGACAAAUUGAAUUGUAGCAGCGUGCGCAAGUUGAAGCAAGAGAGGAGCCAAGGGGCGCGCAAGCUAGGUGAGAAGGCAUAUGGUCACUGCCUGGAGUGGUGGCAAGUCAACAAAUUUGGUUGUAGGAGUUGGAGCGAGAGGGCGGCCAAGGGACACGCAGGCUUAAGUGAGAAGGCAUAUGGUCACUGCCUCGGUGCUGCAGGGAUAGCGGGUCGCAAAAUUUGAUUGGUCAGAUGGUUUUGUGCUGCGGCUGGCACGGGGGUACUUUGUUUCUAUUAUCUCUCCUCUCCUCUUGUCGCGCAGCUAUGCUGCUAGGAAUGGAGUGCCAGCGUUGUGCCAUUUUUAUUUUCUCAUGCCAUUCCUGCUCCCCUCCUUCUCCCCCUCUUAUGCAGCCAUGCCGCUGGGAGUGGAGUACCAGCGUUGCGCCAAGCGCGCGCAGGAGCGCAAUGGGCAGAGGCGCAUCAACUCGCUGUCACAGCUGUCUGCGCCAGAUGGCAGG